UACGUAGGACCCGAGCGUUGUCCGGAUUUAUUGGGUUUAAAGGGAGCGCAGGCGGGAGGUUAAGCGUGACGUGAAAUGUAGCCGCUCAACGGCUGAGUUGCGUCGCGAACUGGCUUUCUUGAGUGGGUACGACGGAGGCGGAAUUCGUGGUGUAGCGGUGAAAUGCUUAGAUAUCACGAAGAACGCCGAUUGCGAAGGCAGCCUCCGAGUCCUUUACUGACGCUAAAGCUCGAAAGUGCGGGUAUCGAAC
This 250-nucleotide ribosomal RNA is filed under the name uncultured prokaryote. RNAcentral's name for it is "partial 16S ribosomal RNA". It matches the Rfam family "Bacterial small subunit ribosomal RNA", at positions 524 to 773 of the family's 1533-position model. The record is from RNAcentral.